GAUGAACGCUGGCGGCGUGCCUAAUACAUGCAAGUCGAGCGAACAGAUGAGGAGCUUGCUCCUCUGACGUUAGCGGGGGACGGGUGAGUAACACGUGGAUAACCUACCUAUAAGACUGGGAUAACUUCGGGAAACCGGAGCUAAUACCGGAUAAUAUAUUGAACCGCAUGGUUCAAUAGUUAAAGACGGUUUUGCUGUUACGUAUAGAUGGAUCCGCGCCGCAUUAGCUAGUUGGUAAGGUAACGGCUUACCAAGGCAACGAUGCGGAGCCGACCUGAGAGGGUGAUCAGCCACACUGGAACUGAGACACGGUCCAGACUCCUACGGGAGGCAGCAGUAGGGAAUCUUCCGCGAUGGGCGAAAGCCUGACGGAGCAAAGCCGCGUGAGUGAUGAAGGUCUUCGGAUCGUAAAACUCUGUUAUUAGGGAAGAAAAAAUGUGUAAGUAACUCUGCACGUCUUGACGGUACCUAAUCAGAAAGCCACGGCUAACUACGUG
RNAcentral lists this ribosomal RNA (497 nucleotides) under uncultured bacterium. RNAcentral describes it as "partial 16S ribosomal RNA". It matches the Rfam family "Bacterial small subunit ribosomal RNA", at positions 28 to 507 of the family's 1533-position model. The record is from RNAcentral.